Molecule: ribosomal RNA, 325 nt
Filed under: uncultured bacterium
Lineage: Bacteria
Description: bacterial SSU rRNA
Rfam family: Bacterial small subunit ribosomal RNA
Source: RNAcentral
GGACGGGUGAGUAACGCGUGAGUAACCUGCCUCUGAGAGGGGAAUAACAUUCUGAAAAGAAUGCUAAUACCGCAUAACAUAUAUUUAUCGCAUGGUAGAUAUAUCAAAGAUUUAUCGCUUAGAGAUGGACUCGCGUCCGAUUAGUUAGUUGGUGAGGUAACGGCUCACCAAGACCGCGAUCGGUAGCCGGACUGAGAGGUUGAACGGCCACAUUGGGACUGAGACACGGCCCAGACUCCUACGGGAGGCAGCAGUGGGGGAUAUUGCGCAAUGGGGGAAACCCUGACGCAGCAACGCCGCGUGAAGGAUGAAGGUCUUCGGAUUG